Non-coding RNA from Arachis ipaensis, 542 nucleotides. The record is from RefSeq and is a predicted model, not a curated record. Lineage: Eukaryota; Viridiplantae; Streptophyta; Magnoliopsida; Fabales; Fabaceae.
CUCCGCCGUGCUCUUGUCUUAUGAGCUCCUUCCGCGCCGCUCUCAUCGCUGCUUCUUCUCUCGUCGCCAGAGGUUUGUCAUCAUCUCUUCUCGUCGCCGUUAGUUCAGGAAAUAAUUAGAGGCAUUCCCAAUCAUUUGAAGAUUGUUGACCUUUCAGCAAAAGAAGCUAUAUAUGGAUUAACAGAGAUUUUAAGGGAGGAAAUAAGGAAUGCACGCUUAGUUGCUAAUCCUGGUUGCUAUCCAACAUCCAUUCAAAUUCCCCUUGUCCCACUGAUAAAGGUUUGUAACUGAAUAUGCUUAUUUCACAAUAGGUUUAAUAUAUAACUAAUUUCUGUUUCACUGUUUUUGUCACUUUUAUGGUUGUAUCUGUUUUCCUUUCUUUGUAUUUUGAGUUGUGAGAUAUGGUCUAGGGUGUUAAGCUUGGGUUACUUUCCAUGUUAAGAAGCUUGUCUGUUAAUCAUCGCUCCAAAGAUAUUUAUGUAUAUGGUAUCCUAGGUAUGUUACUUUCUUAAGAGAUGUCCUAUUCUACUAUUUUAAUUCUA